This 309-nucleotide unclassified non-coding RNA is filed under the name plant metagenome. RNAcentral's name for it is "partial contains 5.8S ribosomal RNA, internal transcribed spacer 2, and large subunit ribosomal RNA". The stretch from base 1 to 105 matches the Rfam family "5.8S ribosomal RNA", at positions 50 to 154 of the family's 154-position model. The record is from RNAcentral.
AAAAUGCGAUAAGUAAUGUGAAUUGCAGAAUUCAGUGAAUCAUCGAAUCUUUGAACGCACAUUGCGCCCGCCAGUAUUCUGGCGGGCAUGCCUGUUCGAGCGUCAUUUCAACCAUCAAGCCCCCGGGCUUGUGUUGGGGACCUGCGGCUGCCGCAGGCCCCGAAAACCAGUGGCGGGCUCGCUGUCACACCGGGCGUAGUAGAUUUUUCGUCUCGCCCAGGGCGUGCUGCGGGUUCCGGCCGUUAAAAAGCCUCUCUUUUAACCCAAGGUUGACCUCGGAUCAGGUAGGAAGACCCGCUGAACUUAAGC